RNAcentral lists this ribosomal RNA (403 nucleotides) under uncultured bacterium. RNAcentral's name for it is "partial 16S ribosomal RNA". It matches the Rfam family "Bacterial small subunit ribosomal RNA", at positions 28 to 526 of the family's 1533-position model. The record is from RNAcentral.
GACGAACGCUGGCGGCGUGCCUAAUACAUGCAAGUCGAACGCAGUCGGGACGGGUGAGUAACACCUGGGUAACCUCCCAUCAGAGGGGAUAACACUUGGAAACUGGUGCUUAACCGAUAUUGAUGUAUGGACCCGCGGUGCAUUAGCUAGUUGGUGAGGUAACGGCUUCCCAAGGCCACGAUGCAUAGCAGACCUGAGAGGUUGAUCGGCCACACUGGGACUGAGACACGGCCCAGAACCCUACGGGAGGCAGCAGUGGGGAAUAGUGCACAAUGGGCGCAAGCCUGAUGCAGCGAUGCCGCGUGUAUGAAGAAGGCCUUAGGGUUGUAAAGUACUUUCAGCGGGGAGGCGUUACCCGCAGAAGAAGCACCGGCUAACUCCGUGCCAGCAGCAGCGGGAAUAC